AUUGAACGCUGGCGGCAGGCCUAACACAUGCAAGUCGAAUGGUAACAGGAAACAGCUUGCUGUUUCGCUGACGAGUAGCGGACGGGUGAGUAAUGUCUGGGAAACUGCCUGAUGGAGGGGAUUACUACUGGAAACGGUAGCCAAUAACCCAUAAACUCGCAAGACCAAAGGGGGGGUGCCUCGGGCCCUCUGCCCACCACUGGUGCCAGAUGGGAUUAGCUAGUAGGUGGGGUAAGGGCUCACCUAGGCGACGAUCCCUAGCUGGUCUGAGAGGAUGACCAGCCACACUGGGACUGAGACACGGUCAAGACUCCUAAGGGAGGCAGCAGUGGGGAAUAUUGCACAAUGGGCGCAAGCCUGAUGCAGCCAUGCCGCGUGUAUGAAGAAGGCCUUCGGGUUGUAAAGUACUUUCAGCGGGGAGGAAGGGAGUAAAGUUAAUACCUUUGCUCAUUGACGUUACCCGCAGAAGAAGCACCGGCUAACUCCGUG
This 489-nucleotide ribosomal RNA is filed under the name uncultured bacterium. RNAcentral's name for it is "partial 16S ribosomal RNA". It matches the Rfam family "Bacterial small subunit ribosomal RNA", at positions 30 to 507 of the family's 1533-position model. The record is from RNAcentral.